CCGCACAAGCGGUGGAGUAUGUGGUUAAUUCGACGCAACGCGCAGAACCUUACCUAGACUUGACAUCCCGGGAUUUCUGGAAACAGAGAAGUGCUUUAGCAAUAAAGAACCCGGUGACAGGUGCUGCAUGGCUGUCGUCAGCUCGUGUCGUGAGAUGUUGGGUUAAGUCCCGCAACGAGCGCAACCCUCGCCUUUAGUUGCCAGCAUUCAGUUGGGCACUCUAGAGGGACUGCCGGUAAUAAACCGGAGGAAGGUGGGGAUGACGUCAAACCAUCAUGCCCCUUAUGACCUGGGCUACACACGUGCUACAAUGGUUGGUACAACGAGUUGCGAGUCGGUGACGGCGAGCUAAUCUCUUAAAGCCAAUCUCAGUUCGGAUUGUAGGCUGCAACUCGCCUACAUGAAGUCGGAAUCGCUAGUAAUCGCGGAUCAGCACGCCGCGGUGAAUACGUUCCCGGGCCUU
This 463-nucleotide ribosomal RNA is filed under the name uncultured Streptococcus sp. RNAcentral describes it as "bacterial SSU rRNA". It matches the Rfam family "Bacterial small subunit ribosomal RNA", at positions 921 to 1382 of the family's 1533-position model. The record is from RNAcentral. Lineage: Bacteria; Bacillati; Bacillota; Bacilli; Lactobacillales; Streptococcaceae.